This 221-nucleotide unclassified non-coding RNA is filed under the name uncultured fungus. RNAcentral's name for it is "sequence contains ITS1, 5.8S rRNA gene". The stretch from base 173 to 221 matches the Rfam family "5.8S ribosomal RNA", at positions 1 to 49 of the family's 154-position model. Lineage: Eukaryota; Fungi. The record is from RNAcentral.
UUUCCGUAGGUGAACCUGCGGAAGGAUCAUUACCUAGAGUUUGCGGGCUUUGCCUGCUAUCUCUUACCCACGUCUUUUGAGUACUUACGUUUCCUCGGUGGGUUCGCCCGCCGAUUGGACAAUUUAAACCCUUUGCAGUUGCAAUCAGCGUCUGAAAAAAAUUAAUAAUUACAACUUUCAACAACGGAUCUCUUGGUUCUGGCAUCGAUGAAGAACGCAGC